This 128-nucleotide ribosomal RNA is filed under the name Acinetobacter pittii. Its description in RNAcentral is "partial 16S ribosomal RNA". It matches the Rfam family "Bacterial small subunit ribosomal RNA", at positions 1406 to 1533 of the family's 1533-position model. Lineage: Bacteria; Pseudomonadati; Pseudomonadota; Gammaproteobacteria; Moraxellales; Moraxellaceae. The record is from RNAcentral.
GGGAGUUUGUUGCACCAGAAGUAGCUAGCCUAACUGCAAAGAGGGCGGUUACCACGGUGUGGCCGAUGACUGGGGUGAAGUCGUAACAAGGUAGCCGUAGGGGAACCUGCGGCUGGAUCACCUCCUUA